GACGAACGCUGGCGGCGUGCUUAACACAUGCAAGUCGAACGGAAAGGCCCUGCUUUUGUGGGGUGCUCGAGUGGCGAACGGGUGAGUAACACGUGAGUAACCUGCCCUUGACUUUGGGAUAACUUCAGGAAACUGGGGCUAAUACUGGAUAGGAGCUCCUGCUGCAUGGUGGGGGUUGGAAAGUUUCGGCGGUUGGGGAUGGACUCGCGGCUUAUCAGCUUGUUGGUGGGGUAGUGGCUUACCAAGGCUUUGACGGGUAGCCGGCGCGAGAGGGUGACCGGCCACAUUGGGACUGAGAUACGGCCCAGACUCCUACGGGAGGCAGCAGUGGGGAAUAUUGCACAAUGGGCGGAAGCCUGAUGCAGCAACGCCGCGUGCGGGAUGACGGCCUUCGGGUUGUAAACCGCUUUCGCCUGUGACGAAGCGUGAGUGACGGUAAUGGGUAAAGAAGCACCGGCUAACUACGUG
Molecule: ribosomal RNA, 468 nt
Filed under: uncultured bacterium
Lineage: Bacteria
Description: partial 16S ribosomal RNA
Rfam family: Bacterial small subunit ribosomal RNA
Source: RNAcentral